RNAcentral lists this ribosomal RNA (236 nucleotides) under uncultured bacterium. RNAcentral describes it as "partial 16S ribosomal RNA". It matches the Rfam family "Bacterial small subunit ribosomal RNA", at positions 97 to 334 of the family's 1533-position model. The record is from RNAcentral.
GGCGAACGGGUGAGUAACGCGUAGGGAUCUGCCCUAGAGAGGGGGAUAACCCGGGGAAACUCGGGCUAAUACCGCAUAAUUCCUGAGGAACAAAGCUGGGGACACUUCGGUGCCUAGCGCUCUAGGAGGAACCUGCGUUCGAUUAGCUAGUUGGUGGGGUAAAGGCCUACCAAGGCGACGAUCGAUAGCUGUUCUGAGAGGAAGAUCAGCCACACUGGGACUGAGACACGGCCCAG